Molecule: long non-coding RNA, 1377 nt
Organism: Phyllostomus discolor (pale spear-nosed bat)
Lineage: Eukaryota; Metazoa; Chordata; Mammalia; Chiroptera; Phyllostomidae
Exons: 3
Source: RefSeq, a predicted model, not a curated record
GAUGCCAUCAGUGAGGGACCGCAAUGAAGACAGAAUCAAGAAUUGCCCGGAAAGCCCUCAGAGUUGGCUUCAAGGAGGCCUCUCUAAAGGACAAAAGAUGGAUGGCUGGGUGUCAAGGUGCCCUAAAUGGUCCUAGGAUGUGCCUCCGCACUUCCUGUUAACCUGCCGCCAAGUUUCCAGAUCAUUCACUUCCCUUGGCAGGGUGGGGCUCGCUUCCUAUCCUGACCUUCUUGGUGGGUCAGGCUUUUGUUCCGGUCAUUCCCCUCAGCCCUGGAGAAUCGGGCUUAUGGUGGCUGGUCUAGGAGGAAGGGGAGGGCAACUAGGACUGAGAGAGGUGGGGCGCGCCGAGGAUGGCCGGGUGGCGGAGGACCCGGGGACGCCCCACUAAGUGCACCUCCAACCGCCGCCCAAUUGGAGCCUCGUCGGGAGUCGUUUUCGCCUGAGAUGCUCCUUGCAGGGGGUGUCUCAGAGUUGGUCAUAGGGCUCUUCCCAACCGACCAAAGCACGCUCAACAGUAGACUUUGAACCUGGAAAAUAACUAGGAUUUGUAUGGUGCAGUUUGUGGUGGUGGUGGUUUCUUUUUAAUCCCGGACAAGCAAACUGAUAAUGUUAAAGUUUCGGAAUUAAUAGGGGAAACUCACAGUUGAAUUAUGUGGUGGGCUUUCUUUUAAGGUUUAUUUUAAGUUUGGAUAAUGCUGAGAUUUUACCAAAAACAUUAAAAAAUGAAUAUUUUGAGAAAAUAGGCUAUUUUAAAUACUCAGGGAGUUGAACUUUGCUACUGUGUAGUCGUCAUGCUGAAACUUGUAGACAUCAGAAUUGUACCUUGUGAUACGGCUUUAAUUGCCAGAAGCUUCUGAAAAUGCAACAAUUCUAGUUAUAGAUGUAGAUACAUUAAUUAGAGUUAGUUUUCCUCACUUCAGGGUACCCUAUAAAUUUUGUCAUAAGGUAAAAUAAAAAAAUGUAAGGUCUUGGCACAAUACCAUAUGGACCUGGACAAAACUUGUUAAGAUUCCUCUCCUCCAAAGCUCUUUUAUGCUGAAAUUGUGUUCUCCCCAAAAUGGAAGAAACCUCACCAUCUUCUGGAAGACUUUCUUUGAAGUACUAUUGUUAUGUGAACUAGAGACCACUGGCUUUUAAUGGAAGUGUUUUGGGUCAUCUAGUCUCUAUGAGUUAUAAAAUGAAUUGAUUUAUUGUGAAGUUGAUGUAUUAUAGUUUUUUAAUCUAUAAAUGACUUUCUCAAAAGACUGCUGGUCCUACAUUUGUUUGCUGUUCAGUAAUAAAGUAUCUUUGAACAUUGGAAUAGGAUCCUAUUAAAAAGAAGACUACAUAAAUACCAAGGGUUUCAUUUAGAGCCUCUUUGAGGCACAAUAAAGAAGU